Molecule: non-coding RNA, 471 nt
Organism: Rattus norvegicus (Norway rat)
Lineage: Eukaryota; Metazoa; Chordata; Mammalia; Rodentia; Muridae
Source: the annotation of a RefSeq genome assembly
AUGGAUUCCAAGACCGUGUCUUCUCCACAAUCCCUGAACACCCUGACUCUAACCAUCGAAUGGAGCUUGGUCUUUCCCUUUCUCCUAUCCAUAACUGCUGGUGUUCACUCUGAGGUAAAGCUGCAGCAGUCUGGAGAUGAGCUGGAAAGAACUGGGGAUUCAGUGAAGAUGUCCUACAAGGCUUCUGGGUACACUUUCACUGACUAUGCUAUGCACUGGGUAAAGCAGAAGCCUGGACAGGACCUGGAAUGGAUUGGAGCUAUUAUUCCUCUAAUUGAUAUUAUUGACUAUAAUCAGAAGUUUAAGGGCAAGGCGACAGUGACUGCAGACAAAUCCUCCAACACGGCCUACAUGGAACUCAGCAGAUUGACAUCUGAGGACUCUGCGGCCUAUUACUGUUCAAGACACAGUGUUCUAACCACAUCCUGUCAAAAACUGAAGGAGCAGCAACCUUCCAUGGGACUGAGAUGA